This is a long non-coding RNA of Oncorhynchus keta (chum salmon), 1190 nucleotides long. RefSeq lists it as uncharacterized. The record is from RefSeq and is a predicted model, not a curated record. Lineage: Eukaryota; Metazoa; Chordata; Actinopteri; Salmoniformes; Salmonidae. The transcript is spliced from 3 exons.
GACAGGCAGGGGAGAGGUGGGAAAGAGGAGAAGGGAGAGAGAAAGAGAGUAUGAGUGUGUGACAGGCAGGGGAGAGGUGGGAAAGAGGAGAAGGGAGAGAGAAAGAGAGUAUGAGUGUGUGACAGGCAGGGGAGAGGUGGGAAAGAGGAGGAGGGAGAGAGAAAGAGAGUAUGAGUGUGUGGCAGGCAGGGGAGAGGUGGGAAAGAGGAGGAGGGAGAGAGAAAGAGAGUAUGAGUGUGUGGCAGGCAGGGGAGAGGUGGGAAAGAGGAGAAGGGAGAGAGAAAGAGAGUAUGAGUGUGUGACAGGCAGGGGAGAGGUGGGAAAGAGGAGGAGGGAGAGAGAAAGAGAGUAUGAGUGUGUGACAGGCAGGGGAGAGGUGGGAAAGAGGAGAAGAGAGAGAGAAAGAGAGUAUGAGUGUGUGACAGGCAGGGGAGAGGUGGGAAAGAGGAGGAGGGAGAGAGAAAGAGAGUAUGAGUGUGUGACAGGCAGGGGAGAGGUGGGAAAGAGGAGGAGGGAGAGAGAAAGAGAGUAUGAGUGUGUGACAGGCAGGGGAGAGGUGGGAAAGAGGAGGAGGGAGAGAGAAAGAGAGUAUGAGUGUGUGACAGGCAGGGGAGAGGUGGGAAAGAGGAGGAGGGAGAGAGAAAGAGAGUAUGAGUGUGUGGCAGGCAGGGGAGAGGUGGGAAAGAGGAGGAGGGAGAGAGAAAGAGAGUAUGAGUGUGUGACAGGCAGGGGAGAGGUGGGAAAGAGGAGGAGGGAGAGAGAAAGAGAGUAUGAGUGUGUGACAGGCAGGGGAGAGGUGGGAAAGAGGAGAAGGGAGAGAGAAAGAGAGUAUGAGUGUGUGACAGGCAGGGGAGAGGUGGGAAAGAGGAGAAGGGAGAGAGAAAGAUAGUAUGAGUGUGUGACAGGCAGGGGAGAGGUGGGAAAGAGGAGAAGAGAGAGAGAAAGAUAGUAUGAGUGUGUGAGAGUUGCACCAUUUUCUGAGACUUGAGACCAGUUUGGAAAGACACAGUAUUUACAUGUAACUCCCUGCUUGGAUACUCUGUAACAGAUCCGUAUUUUCUCUCUCCCUUGAAGUAAUCACUGAUCUAACAUGACUGGGUCUGAAGGACAGCUUGUACCAGGACUGUAGUUACCACAACAUAUAAGGAAAGGUUUACUUCCAACUGGGCCUAGGUUUACCAUGGGGGAGG